Molecule: ribosomal RNA, 688 nt
Filed under: Staphylococcus aureus
Lineage: Bacteria; Bacillati; Bacillota; Bacilli; Caryophanales; Staphylococcaceae
Description: bacterial SSU rRNA
Rfam family: Bacterial small subunit ribosomal RNA
Source: RNAcentral
GCCUAAUACAUGCAAGUCGAGCGAACGGACGAGAAGCUUGCUUCUCUGAUGUUAGCGGCGGACGGGUGAGUAACACGUGGAUAACCUACCUAUAAGACUGGGAUAACUUCGGGAAACCGUAGCUAAUACCGGAUAAUAUUUUGAACCGCAUGGUUCAAAAGUGAAAGACGGUCUUGCUGUCACUUAUAGAUGGAUCCGCGCUGCAUUAGCUAGUUGGUAAGGUAACGGCUUACCAAGGCAACGAUGCAUAGCCGACCUGAGAGGGUGAUCGGCCACACUGGAACUGAGACACGGUCCAGACUCCUACGGGAGGCAGCAGUAGGGAAUCUUCCGCAAUGGGCGAAAGCCUGACGGAGCAACGCCGCGUGAGUGAUGAAGGUCUUCGGAUCGUAAAACUCUGUUAUUAGGGAAGAACAUAUGUGUAAGUAACUGUGCACAUCUUGACGGUACCUAAUCAGAAAGCCACGGCUAACUACGUGCCAGCAGCCGCGGUAAUACGUAGGUGGCAAGCGUUAUCCGGAAUUAUUGGGCGUAAAGCGCGCGUAGGCGGUUUUUUAAGUCUGAUGUGAAAGCCCACGGCUCAACCGUGGAGGGUCAUUGGAAACUGGAAAACUUGAGUGCAGAAGAGGAAAGUGGAAUUCCAUGUGUAGCGGUGAAAUGCGCAGAGAUAUGGAGGAACACCAGUGGC